RNAcentral lists this ribosomal RNA (460 nucleotides) under uncultured bacterium. RNAcentral's name for it is "partial 16S ribosomal RNA". It matches the Rfam family "Bacterial small subunit ribosomal RNA", at positions 338 to 795 of the family's 1533-position model. The record is from RNAcentral.
CCUACGGGUGGCUGCAGUGAGGAAUAUUGGUCAAUGGGCGUAAGUCUGAACCAGCCAAGUCGCGUGAGGGAUGAAGGUUCUAUGGAUCGUAAACCUCUUUUAUAAGGGAAUAAAGUGUGGGACGUGUCCUAUUUUGUAUGUACCUUAUGAAUAAGGAUCGGCUAACUCCGUGCCAGCAGCCGCGGUAAUACGGAGGAUCCGAGCGUUAUCCGGAUUUAUUGGGUUUAAAGGGUGCGUAGGCGGCCUUUUAAGUCAGCGGUGAAAGUCUGUGGCUCAACCAUAGAAUUGCCGUUGAAACUGGGGGGCUUGAGUAUGUUUGAGGCAGGCGGAAUGCGUGGUGUAGAGGUGAAAUUCGUAGAUAUUGGGUAGAACACCGGUGGCGAAGGCGGCUAUCUGGCCAUUUACUGACGCUGAGGCUCGAAAGCAUGGGGAUCAAACAGGAUUAGAUACCCGAGUAGUC